This 31-nucleotide non-coding RNA is filed under the name Mus musculus (house mouse). Lineage: Eukaryota; Metazoa; Chordata; Mammalia; Rodentia; Muridae. The record is from RNAcentral.
UGCAUUUUAUUAGAAUAAAGAGUGCUGUGGG